UACGGAGGGGGCUAGCGUUGUUCGGAAUUACUGGGCGUAAAGCGCGCGCAGGCGGUUUCUCAAGUCAGUGGUGAAAGCCCGGAGCUCAACUCCGGAACUGCCAUUGAAACUGUGAAACUUGAGGACGAGAGAGGUGAGUGGAAUUCCCAGUGUAGAGGUGAAAUUCGUAGAUAUUGGGAGGAACACCUGUGGCGAAAGCGGCGCACUGGACCAUAACUGACGCUGAGGCGCGAAAGCUAGGGGAGCAAACAGG
Molecule: ribosomal RNA, 253 nt
Filed under: uncultured bacterium
Lineage: Bacteria
Description: partial 16S ribosomal RNA
Rfam family: Bacterial small subunit ribosomal RNA
Source: RNAcentral